CUUCUUAAAUUUAACUUCUCUUUUUUGUAGUUAGUUCUUCCAUUAUAUUUUACUUUUUAGUUUCUUCUUUGUUUACUUUUCAGGAGGAGUAGGAGAUUGAUAACACAUCAAAAAGUUUUCACUAUGUCUCAAAAUAAUGAUGUUUCCACAAAUCAGAAUGAGCAGGCUUUCCAAGCUCAUGUUCAUCACGAUUUUGUGCAGCCCAGGUCUCAAAAUAAUGAUGUUUCCACAAAUCAGAAUGAGCAGGCUUUCCAAGCUCCUGUUCAUCACGAUUUUGUGCAGCCCAGGCCUAUGUUUAAUCCUGUUCACGUAUCCUCCUUUAAUAUGGGGCAAAACUUACCUCC
Long non-coding RNA from Solanum dulcamara, 344 nucleotides. RefSeq lists it as uncharacterized. NCBI's taxonomy places the organism in Eukaryota, Viridiplantae, Streptophyta, Magnoliopsida, Solanales, Solanaceae. The record is from RefSeq and is a predicted model, not a curated record. The transcript is spliced from 4 exons.